Molecule: long non-coding RNA, 764 nt
Organism: Bubalus bubalis (water buffalo)
Lineage: Eukaryota; Metazoa; Chordata; Mammalia; Artiodactyla; Bovidae
Exons: 4
Source: RefSeq, a predicted model, not a curated record
AUUGGUUUGAGGAUGGAACUGUGAUCCAGUGAGGCUCACGUUUGGUUCAGUGAGAUUCAAACCCAGGAGUUGUGUUGAGAAGUGAAAGUCACUCAGUUGUGUCUGACUCUUUGCAACCCCAUGGACUAUAUAGUCCAUGGAAUUCUCCAGGCCAGAAUACUGGAGCUGGUAGCCUUUCCCUUCUCGAGGAAAGAGAGAGAAAGAGACAGACUAUUUGUGUUGAGCAAGAGACAGAUUAUUUGCUACUGAAUUUGAACCUGACGAGACGCAGGCCUGGAGCUCCUGCUUGCUUUCUUGCCGGUGCAUUGAAUGCAAGGAUAAAGACAACGUGAAGGGGAGCAGAAUGUUAAACUGGGUUUGAAUUGGACUUUCUGUCACGACAUCAAAAAAGAAUUUUGACUGGAUAUGCCAGAACUUUAGCUCACCUUAUUUCUCAUCUCCUCCCCAUUAUGGACCCUACUUGUAUCCUUGAUUUCUAACUCAGGAAGUCAGUGAUGGAGUGAGGUGAAGAAUAGAGCAAGACUCGACAAUGGGGGUCAAAUUGGAGUCAUUCUGGGUUUAUUCCAUGGUCACUGUAGAAUCCCACAGUCUUGGUUAUGGCACACAGGAGCUUCGGCCUUCGUCGCCUCUUGCAGAAUCUUUCAGUCACAGCAUGUGAACUUUUCGUUGCAGCCUGUGGGAUCUAGUUCCCUGACCAUGGAUCAAACUCAGGUCCCCUUCAUUGGGAGUGAGGAAUCUUAGCCACUGGACCACCAGGGAACUCA